AUUGAACGCUGGCGGCAUGUACACANUGCAAGUCGAACGGCAGCGCGGGGCAACCUGGCGGCGAGUGGCGAACGGGUGAGUAAUAUAUCGGAACGUACCCUGGAGUGGGGGAUAACGUAGCGAAAGUUACGCUAAUACCGCAUACGAUCUAAGGAUGAAAGUGGGGGAUCGCAAGACCUCAUGCUCCUGGAGCGGCCGAUAUCUGAUUAGCUAGUUGGUGGGGUAAAGGCCUACCAAGGCAUCGAUCAGUAGCUGGUCUGAGAGGACGACCAGCCACACUGGAACUGAGACACGGUCCAGACUCCUACGGGAGGCAGCAGUGGGGAAUUUUGGACAAUGGGCGAAAGCCUGAUCCAGCAAUGCCGCGUGAGUGAAGAAGGCCUUCGGGUUGUAAAGCUCUUUUGUCAGGGAAGAAACGGUGAGGGCUAAUAUCCCUUGCUAAUGACGGUACCUGAAGAAUAAGCACCGGCUAACUACGUGCCAGCAGCCGCGGUAAUACGUAGGGUGCAAGCGUUAAUCGGAAUUACUGGGCGUAAAGCGUGCGCAGGCGGUUUUGUAAGUCUGUCGUGAAAUCCCCGGGCUCAACCUGGGAAUUGCGAUGGGGACUGCAAGGCUAGAAUCUGGCAGAGGGGGGUAGAAUUCCACGUGUAGCAGUGAAAUGCGUAGAGAUGUGGAGGAACACCGAUGGCGAAGGCAGCCCCCUGGGUCAAGAUUGACGCUCA
RNAcentral lists this ribosomal RNA (722 nucleotides) under uncultured bacterium. RNAcentral describes it as "bacterial SSU rRNA". It matches the Rfam family "Bacterial small subunit ribosomal RNA", at positions 28 to 749 of the family's 1533-position model. The record is from RNAcentral.